This 29-nucleotide non-coding RNA is filed under the name Mus musculus (house mouse). Lineage: Eukaryota; Metazoa; Chordata; Mammalia; Rodentia; Muridae. The record is from RNAcentral.
UUGCAGGGGAAAGUGCCCCAUUGUGGGUG